RNAcentral lists this ribosomal RNA (492 nucleotides) under uncultured bacterium. Its description in RNAcentral is "partial 16S ribosomal RNA". It matches the Rfam family "Bacterial small subunit ribosomal RNA", at positions 29 to 507 of the family's 1533-position model. The record is from RNAcentral.
AGUGAACGCUGGCGGUAUGCCUAACACAUGCAAGUCGAACGGCAGCACAGUAAGAGCUUGCUCUUACGGGUGGCGAGUGGCGGACGGGUGAGGAAUACAUCGGAAUCUACUUUUUCGUGGGGGAUAACGUAGGGAAACUUACGCUAAUACCUCAUACGACCUACGGGUGAAAGCAGGGGAUCUUCGGACCUUGCGCGAUUGAAUGAGCCGAUGUCGGAUUAGCUAGUUGGCGGGGUAAAGGCCCACCAAGGCGACGAUCCGUAGCUGGUCUGAGAGGAUGAUCAGCCACACUGGAACUGAGACACGGUCCAGACUCCUACGGGAGGCAGCAGUGGGGAAUAUUGGACAAUGGGCGCAAGCCUGAUCCAGCCAUACCGCGUGGGUGAAGAAGGCCUUCGGGUUGUAAAGCCCUUUUGUUGGGAAAGAAAAGCAGCAGGUUAAUACCCCGCUGUUAUGACGGUACCCAAAGAAUAAGCACCGGCUAACUUCGUG